RNAcentral lists this long non-coding RNA (3667 nucleotides) under Sus scrofa (pig). RNAcentral describes it as "lncRNA (ENSSSCG00025044321.1)". The record is from RNAcentral. Lineage: Eukaryota; Metazoa; Chordata; Mammalia; Artiodactyla; Suidae.
AGAGCUAGUCGGCAGGGUUUUUGUUUUUUGUCUUUUUAGGGCACAUGGAAGUUCCCAGGCUAGGGGUCACAUUGGAGCUGUAUCCGCUGGCCUACACCAGAGCAAAACCAGAUCCCAGCUGUAUCUGCAACCUACACCACAGCUCAUGGCAACGCCGGAUCCUUAACCUACUGAGGGAGGCCAGGGAUGGAACCUGUGUCCCCAUGGAUACUAGUUGGGUUCCUUACGGCUGAGCCACCACAGGAACAGUUUCAUAGUCUGCAGUUGUGAAUGAGGGUUCAUUGGAGAGAGACAGUCAAGCCUGCUGCUGAGGCGGCCUGUGGAGAAGGGCAGCAAUGGCAGAGUGCCAAGAACCUUGAGGUCCUCACAGAGGUUUCUGUGGCUCAGGUGGUUUUUUUUGGUCUUUUUGUCUUUUUAAGGCCACACCCACGGCAUAUGGAGGUUCCCAGGCUAGGGAUCUAAUCGGAACUGUAGCCACCGGCCUACACCACAGCCACAGAAAAUGGGAUCCCAGCUGCGUCUGCGACCUACACCACCACUCAUGGUGACACCGGGUCCUGAGCAAGGACCCACUGAGUGAGGCCAGGGAUCGGACCCUCGUCCUCAUGGAUGCUAGUCGGGUUUGUCAACUGCUGAGCCACGAUGGGAACUCCUGUGGCUGAGUUUUAAAGCAAGAAACAGGGCCAGAGGGAAGACCUUCAGGUGAGGGCUUGGUGCCCUCUGGCACCAGGACACUUUGGUGUUUUGGGGCAGGCCUGGGACGGAUUAAGAUGCUGGAUGCAUUUGCUGUGCACUGCCUGGGUUCCACGUGCAGGGUGGAGAAAUGCACUGCUGUGGUCUGGGAGUUUGGCCAGAGUCAUGAAGGAAAUGGGUCCACAGAGUGAUGUGCAGGUGAGGGGUGAGCGUGGUUGACCCCGGCCUGUGGCACUUACUGUGGAAUGAAGUGACUGAGUCUGCUUGUCUGGGAGGUACCUUCUGGGGAUCUCUGGGAAGUCACCUGACAGGAGAGGGGUGGAGUCCACGUCUCAGGCCAGAGCCUGGGUGGUGCUUUUCUGCCCCCUCCUUUGCCUUUGUAAACUCUGGAUACCAGACCCAGUGAUCAGUGGCAGUGAGAGAACAGGCACCGUUGCCACCAGGACCUGGUAACUCUUCCUGAUGGGGAAGCUGGGGGGAGGAGGCCCGGAUGUGUGGGAGAAAGUUAUACAACCAUUGUACCUGCCAGAUUUUCAUUUAUGGACAUAUACAUGAGUAAAUGACAACAUGGAGAGGCCAAUAUCGUUGAAAGAUGUUUUCUUUUUUUUUUUUUAAUUUGUUUCUUGUCUUUUUUGUCUUUUUUUAGGGCCGCACCUGUGGCACAUGGAGGUUCCUAGGCUGGGGUCUAAUCGGAGCUGUAGCCGCUGGCCUACACCAGAGCCACAGCAAUGAGGGAUCCGAGCCACGUCUGCGACCUACACCAGAGCUCAUGGUAACACCGGAUCCUUAACCCACUGCGUGAGGCCAGGGAUCGAAUCCGAAACCUCAGGGUUCCUAGUCAGAUUCGUUUCUGCUGUGCCAUGACGGGAACUCUGAGAGGGAUUUUCAUUAUUUAUAUUUCCCUGGUGUGCAGUGAACACCGUGUCCCACAGGGCCAUGUUAGGAAUACCAGAUUUGAUCAAGGGGAGGCCUAGGUCAGAUCCUUGAUUGGGCAAGAGGGGCUACAGUCCUGCAGCCCACAGAAGGGAGACCACAGAUACACAAAGCCAGACAAAAUGAAACAGCACAGUGAUAUGUUCCAGACAGUGGAACAAAAGAAAACUCCAGAAGAACAAGUAAGUGAAGUGGAGAUAGGCAAGCUACAUGAAAAGUCAGAGUAACCAGAGUAAGGAUCAUCCAAGAUCCCGGGGCGGGGAGAGGCACAGAUUGAAGGAUUUCUAGGCUUUCAUCUGUAUUAGUGUGUUUAGUACUGUUGACCCGUUGUCGUUCAGAAGCUGUGUGGUCGAGUGAGGCUCUUGCUGAUUGACCAUUGCAUAGGGGCCUAGGGCUGUCACUGACUGGAUGUCUUUCAGGACCUGGUGGGGUGCAAUAGUCUAUUACUGUUUGGUCGAAUUUCAAAAGCUUGUUCCUAUCAAUGAUUUGCUAACUUCUAGAAGCUUAGUUUCUCUGUUGAGGCUCCCAUUGACUUGAUGAAUUUCAGAACACAUGUACUGAUCAGAAAUUAUCUCUUCUAAACAAUGGUUAUUUGUUCACAACUUUGGAUUGUGGCCAAGUGAAAAAUCUUUUCCCUUUCCUGAGUAUGAAGAAUAAGACCUUUAAUUCUCAGUGUCCUGUUUUGGUUUUCCCUUAGCCAAGCCGGAGGGAAACCAUGAGGCACUGGCCAAAUCUAACUGCCAAGUUUUUGGAAAGCAUUACAAAAAGCUGCGAAUAGGAUGUUUUCAUUGUGCUGACAAAGUCAAUGCAGGACCCAGGGAAAAAAUCUUGAAAUACAUGACGUGUGCCGUGUAUACAGAACGGCUGUCAAGCCUACUCCUAAUCUGUUCCGUGCACGUACCAUUGUGACUGAAAGCCAGUAGGUGCUCAUGGUACAUUUGUCAGGGCAGUGAACACACACCACAGCAUAGCUUCCUUAUUCGUUUUCAACUUUCUAGCAAAUCUGAAUUUUUGUCCUCACCUCUCCUGCCAAGCAGUUAGUUGGCAAUGUUUUCAGGCCUGUGAAGGAAUCACAUUUUGAAGAACUGUAUGCUUCAUGUGGGAACUACAGUACCCAGAAGCCACAGCUUGCUCCAUUUUGUAGUCCAGGUGAACACAUUUCAGGUGCUUCUGGAAUGAAUCUGUGUCUCGAAGGCUGUAGUCCCAACAAUCCCCAGAUACAUGCUGCUUUAGUUCAUCAGGUCUUCGUUUCUAAAAUUUUGAUUAGUACUCAUAACACAUAAAAGUAUUAUGUAAUUGACUGUGUUGUCAUUAAUGUUUACUUUCCAUCUCCUUUGACUGGAAUGACUGCGUCAUAAGGGCAGAGGGGUCUUGACUCUUUGGAUCUCGAUGUGUCCUGUGCAGCCAGAUUGGUGCCUUGAAUGGGGAAGGCACCUAAUGAGUGUUUGCUAAGGAGGGGAUAAAUAGGAGGCCACAGAUGCCCUGUUUGUUUUUAGUGUUCUGGCAAAGCUGUCUGCUCUCUUUACAUUUCCCCUUAAACUAAAAUAAGAAGAUAUAAAUCAAUAAUAAAUCACAAUUUUGAGAGCCUUCGUCACUACCAGCUCAGCUUCAUUUCCUCACUUCUUAGACUUCUGCGUCCCUUCAAACUUCACUGAGAGCCUAACCUUCUUUAAAUAACUAAAUAAUGAUUGAUUUCAGCAAUUUCAACAUUUCGUAAUUUUUUUUUCUGAGAUAAUCUCACCUCUCCAUGCACUGUCACUGUAUUUGCAGUUGAAAUGGUAUUAACUCCCCAGCAGGGAAGGGAGAUCACGGGGAGUUCUCCUCAUGGCUCAGCGGUUAAUAAACCUAACUAGGAUCCAUGACCCCUGACCUCACUCAGUGGGUUAAGGAUCCGGCGUUGCUGUGAGCUGUGGUGUAGGUCACAGAUGUGGCUCAGAUCCUGCGUUGCUGUGGCCGUGGCUUAGGCCAGCACCUGUAGCUCCAAUUUGACCCCUAGCCUGGGAACGUCCAUAUGUCGCGCAGGUGCGGCCCUUAAAAAAAA